Molecule: non-coding RNA, 90 nt
Organism: Mycena latifolia
Lineage: Eukaryota; Fungi; Basidiomycota; Agaricomycetes; Agaricales; Mycenaceae
Source: the annotation of a GenBank genome assembly
GGCCUGGUGGUGCAAUGGUAACACACCUACUUCGUGUAAGUAGAUUACUUGUGUUUAGUAGGGGAUCCUUGUUCGAUUCAAGGUCGGCCA